AAUACAUGGGUAACCUACCCUCGAGAGGGGAAUAACUCGCCGAAAGGUGAGCUAAUACCGCGUACGAUCCUUGGUCGCAAGGCGAAGGAUGAAAGCUGCACCGUGGGUGUGGCGCUCGAGGAUGGGCUCAUGUCCUAUCAGCUUGUUGGUGAGGUAACGGCUCACCAAGGCUACGACGGGUAGCUGGUCUGAGAGGACGAUCAGCCACACUGGCACUGCGACACGGGCCAGACUCCUACGGGAGGCAGCAGUAAGGAAUAUUGCGCAAUGGACGACAGUCUGACGCAGCGACGCCGCGUGGGGGAUGAAGGUCUUCGGAUUGUAAACCCCUUUCGGGUGGACAGAUGGCUCUCGACAACGAGAGCGGACGGUACCACCAGAAGCAGCCACGGCCAACUUCGUGCCAGCAGCCGCGGUAAUACGAAGGUGGCAAGCGUUGUUCGGAUUCACUGGGCGUACAGGCUGUGUAGGCGGUUCGGUAAGCCCUCUGGGAAAGCUCCUGGCUUCAACCGGGAAAGUUCAGGGGGGACUGCCGGGCUAGAGGACGGGAGAGGAGCGCGGAAUUCCCGGUGUAGCGGU
RNAcentral lists this ribosomal RNA (579 nucleotides) under uncultured Nitrospira sp. RNAcentral's name for it is "bacterial SSU rRNA". It matches the Rfam family "Bacterial small subunit ribosomal RNA", at positions 112 to 682 of the family's 1533-position model. The record is from RNAcentral. Lineage: Bacteria; Pseudomonadati; Nitrospirota; Nitrospiria; Nitrospirales; Nitrospiraceae.